CGCCCUUCAGAGGGGGGAAACAGUUGGAAACGACUGCUAAUACCGCAUACGAUACAAUCUCGGCAUCGAGACUGGAUGAAAGGUGGCCUCUAUUUAUAAGCUAUCACUGAAGGAGGGGAUUGCGUCUGAUUAGCUAGUUGGAGGGGUAACGGCCCACCAAGGCGAUGAUCAGUAGCCGGUCUGAGAGGAUGAACGGCCACAUUGGGACUGAGACACGGCCCAG
Molecule: ribosomal RNA, 223 nt
Filed under: uncultured bacterium
Lineage: Bacteria
Description: partial 16S ribosomal RNA
Rfam family: Bacterial small subunit ribosomal RNA
Source: RNAcentral